CCUGCCCGGCGGGCUAUUGGCCUCUUUGGAACCAAUAAGCUCCUUCGGAGUCCAUGGGGACUGAGUACCCUUUGAUGGUGGAGGGGGGAAGAAAAGGAAAUCUUCACAAGGCCAUGGUUGCUACCCAAAUAAUGGCAAAGGAAAAGGCAAACAAGACAAGAAGCAGGGCAAAUGCCUAUAGAAAAGCUAAACACAGUUGUCCCAGCCAAUCAUCAGCA
Molecule: long non-coding RNA, 218 nt
Organism: Pollicipes pollicipes
Lineage: Eukaryota; Metazoa; Arthropoda; Thecostraca; Pollicipedomorpha; Pollicipedidae
Exons: 3
Source: RefSeq, a predicted model, not a curated record